This is a long non-coding RNA of Lolium rigidum, 366 nucleotides long. RefSeq lists it as uncharacterized. NCBI's taxonomy places the organism in Eukaryota, Viridiplantae, Streptophyta, Magnoliopsida, Poales, Poaceae. The record is from RefSeq and is a predicted model, not a curated record. The transcript has 2 exons.
GCUCGGUGUCACGUCUGGUGGCCAAGCACGAAGUCAAAGCUACACAUGCUGCUAAUGGUUGGAGCUAUAUGGCAGCCAACAAGUUCAUCAAUAUCUCUAUUACGGCCAUCGCUAUCUUCCAUUUCACAAUAUGUGCUUUCUUAUAAUGUUAUCAUGCAGAUGCCAAUUCAUUUCUCUGUCCAUAUAUCUUUGAGAAGGUCGGCAUAGCUGUUUGUUUGAGGCUCAACGUGAUACCAGCCUUUGAUUCAAGCUUUGCUUUUUGUUUUCCCAGGAGCCUUAGCUUUUAGUGUUAUUAAUUUAUCAUGGAUGUUUGUUUUGUGUUCUUCACAUUCCAUGGACUACAAAGAAUAUGUGUUAUUCCAUUUA